This 125-nucleotide small RNA is filed under the name Marmota monax (woodchuck). Lineage: Eukaryota; Metazoa; Chordata; Mammalia; Rodentia; Sciuridae. The record is from RNAcentral.
GCCAGGCAUGGUGGAGCAUACCUGUAAUCCCAGUGGCUGGGGAGGCUGAGACAGAAGGAUUGUGAGUUCAAAGCCAGCCUCAACAGUGGUGAAGGGCUUAGCAACUCAGUGAGACCCUGUCUCUA